RNAcentral lists this long non-coding RNA (1148 nucleotides) under Monodelphis domestica (gray short-tailed opossum). RNAcentral's name for it is "lncRNA (ENSMODG00000039860.1)". The record is from RNAcentral. Lineage: Eukaryota; Metazoa; Chordata; Mammalia; Didelphimorphia; Didelphidae.
CUCUCUGUCUCCCUGACUCUCUCUCUGUGUCAGAUUUGCUACCCUGUGAAUUGCCCCCCCCCCAGAAUAACAAGUCAUAAAGAUUGUCUCCAGGUGAAGAAUUUAUUUAUUCACAUCUAUGAAACUAUGUCUUCUCAUUGAACAAGUAAAAUAAUAAUUGCUUACAUUUAUAUGGUGAUUUAAAUGUGUAACAUUCUUUCGGUGAGAAUAAUUAAGUGCUCACAUUCAUAGAGCACUUAAAAGUUUGCAAAGAACUUUGUAUAAAUUAAUUAUUGCAUUUGCUCUUCACAAUAACCCAGUGAGGUGGGUGCAAAUGAGAUCCCUGCUUCUACUAAUGGCCCUCCUUGCCUUAGGACUGAAACCUGGAACCACAUAUGGACAAUGCAACAGAGCUCUGCUCCCAAUGUCAACAGAGGGUCUUUUGCAAUCUCUGUCUAACCCCCUUAGAUGUGUGGUUAAGAGUUCUGGAAGUCAGUACUUCUGAUUUAGUGUACCUCCCCCAUGCCUGUUUAUGACUCACCAUGACUUAGCCUACACUAAACUGUGUUCCAUGUCACUCCACAGAGACUGAUCUUUGCAGCAGGUCUUCAAAGAUUUCUUGGAAUGGAAAAUUGUUUCACCCCAUCCUUUCGUUGGUUCUGUGACAUCAGAAUUCAUUUUGCAGUAUAAUUUAAUGUUGCUUGGAGAGGAAUUUUGGGUAGUUCAGGUGUGAUUGUACUCUGCCUUUUUUUUCACUUCUGCACUCUUAUGUUUGAAACACUGGUGCUUAUGUUUAUACUAUAUACUUAGAUGCUUUGAAAUUACCCAAUGCUAAUUUAUCUUUGCAAGGAACUUCAAAGAGUUACACAAUGGAAGGAAAUGUAACCUAAAAAUCCAAAGAUCAUUGAUAUGGAACUUUCUCCUCAUUGCUGAAGAUAACAUCCCAUAAAUCUUCAGUUUCUUCAGGCAGUUGCUUUAAGGUACUUCUGGUUUCCAGCUUUAAUAGAAAAUAGAGACAAUGCCAAACCCAAGAAGCCAACAUGAGAGGGUUUAGUAGCCUCCACAAUGUCAAUAUUCCCAACUUGCUACACUACAAACUCUGGGUAAUUUCCCCUUGGUCAAGACCUAGCAUUUUCUUUUUCUUAGUUGUUAUCUCACUCAAAUGAAAG